Molecule: ribosomal RNA, 526 nt
Filed under: uncultured Nitrospiraceae bacterium
Lineage: Bacteria; Pseudomonadati; Nitrospirota; Nitrospiria; Nitrospirales; Nitrospiraceae
Description: bacterial SSU rRNA
Rfam family: Bacterial small subunit ribosomal RNA
Source: RNAcentral
AGAGUUUGAUCCUGGCUCAGAACGAACGCUGGCAGCGCGCCUAAUACGUGCAAGUCGAGCGAGAAGACGUAGCAAUACGUUUGUUAAGCGGCGAACGGGUGAGGAAUACAUGGGUAACCUACCCCAGAGUGGGGAAUAACUAGCCGAAAGGKUAGCUAAUACCGCGUACGCUCCUUGGACUUCGGUUCAGGGAGGAAAGCGAUACCGAGGGUAUCGCGCUCUUGGAUGGGCUCAUGUCCUAUCAGCUUGUUGGUGAGGUAACGGCUCACCAAGGCUUCGACGGGUAGCUGGUCUGAGAGGACGAUCAGCCACACUGGCACUGCGACACGGGCCAGACUCCUACGGGAGGCAGCAGUAAGGAAUAUUGCGCAAUGGGCGAAAGCCUGACGCAGCGACGCCGCGUGGGGGAUGAAGGUCUUCGGAUUGUAAACCCCUUUCGGGAGGGAAGAUGGAAUGGGGUAACCCAUUCGGACGGUACCUCCAGAAGCAGCCACGGCUAACUUCGUGCCAGCAGCCGCGGUAAUAC